Molecule: ribosomal RNA, 254 nt
Filed under: uncultured bacterium
Lineage: Bacteria
Description: partial 16S ribosomal RNA
Rfam family: Bacterial small subunit ribosomal RNA
Source: RNAcentral
UACGAAGGGGGCUAGCGUUGCUCGGAAUUACUGGGCGUAAAGGGCGCGUAGGCGGCCUGAUAAGUAGGGGGUGAAAUCCUGCGGCUUAACCGCAGGGCUGCCUUCUAAACUGUCAGGCUUGAGCACAGUAGAGGCAGGUGGAAUUCCCGGUGUAGCGGUGGAAUGCGUAGAGAUCGGGAAGAACAUCAGUGGCGAAGGCGGCCUGCUGGGCUGUUGCUGACGCUGAGGCGCGACAGCGUGGGGAGCAAACAGGG